This is a small nuclear RNA of Apodemus sylvaticus (European woodmouse), 105 nucleotides long. Lineage: Eukaryota; Metazoa; Chordata; Mammalia; Rodentia; Muridae. The record is from RefSeq and is a predicted model, not a curated record.
GUGCCCUCUUUGGCAGCACAUAUAUGAAAAAUUGGAAUGAUACAGGGAUUAGCAUGGCCCUUGCCCAAUGAUGACAUGCAAAUUUAUGAAACAGUCAAUAUUAAA